AACGAACGCUGGCGGCAUGCCUAACACAUGCAAGUCGAACGAUGCUUUCGGGCAUAGUGGCGCACGGGUGCGUAACGCGUGGGAAUCUGCCCUUGGGUUCGGGAUAACAGCGGGAAACUGCUGCUAAUACCGGAUGAUAUCGCGAGAUCAAAGAUUUAUCGCCCGAGGAUGAGCCCGCGUUGGAUUAGGUAGUUGGUGGGGUAAAGGCCUACCAAGCCGACGAUCCAUAGCUGGUCUGAGAGGAUGAUCAGCCACACUGGGACUGAGACACGGCCCAGACUCCUACGGGAGGCAGCAGUGGGGAAUAUUGGACAAUGGGCGCAAGCCUGAUCCAGCAAUGCCGCGUGAGUGAUGAAGGCCUUAGGGUUGUAAAGCUCUUUUACCCGGGAUGAUAAUGACAGUACCGGGAGAAUAAGCCCCGGCUAACUCCGUGCCAGCAGCCGCCGUAACA
Molecule: ribosomal RNA, 451 nt
Filed under: uncultured bacterium
Lineage: Bacteria
Description: bacterial SSU rRNA
Rfam family: Bacterial small subunit ribosomal RNA
Source: RNAcentral